RNAcentral lists this ribosomal RNA (262 nucleotides) under uncultured archaeon. RNAcentral describes it as "partial 16S ribosomal RNA". It matches the Rfam family "Archaeal small subunit ribosomal RNA", at positions 748 to 1008 of the family's 1478-position model. The record is from RNAcentral.
CAGCCGUAAACUAUGCGCGUUAGGUGUAUCGGUGACCACGAGUUACCGAGGUGCCGAAGGGAAACCGUGAAACGUGCCGCCUGGGAAGUACGGUCGCAAGGCUGAAACUUAAAGGAAUUGGCGGGGGAGCACCACAACAGGUGGAGCCUGCGGUUUAAUUUGGACUCAACGCCGGGAAGCUCACCGGAUAGGACAGCAGAAUGAUUGCCGGGCUGAAGACCCUGCAUGACUAGCUGAGAGGAGGUGCAUGGCGUCAGUGACU